RNAcentral lists this long non-coding RNA (802 nucleotides) under Olea europaea (common olive). RNAcentral describes it as "long non-coding RNA (OEUR_LNC012263)". The record is from RNAcentral. Lineage: Eukaryota; Viridiplantae; Streptophyta; Magnoliopsida; Lamiales; Oleaceae.
UCAUUAAAACAGUUGUAUCUUUCAAACCGUAACUCAGCGUUGUGCCAACCUAUUUUUUCAGCUUAGCCAGAACUCAGAGGGCAGGAUGAAUGGGAUGGCAUCUAAAACAGUCCGGGGAUCCCUGAAGGCUGAAACCUUAUGUGGGGAAGUGUCUGGCCAUGUUGGAGGGGCUGAAGUGCACUAUUUAAGAAACCAUACCACACUUUAGUUGCCACAAGAGCUCACCCCACUAAGGAGACUAUAUGGUGGUGGUAUUAGCAAUUCACAAAGGUAGGAAGGAGAAGGGAAAGACAAAGGUUGAAUCUCACACAAGAAACUCCACACUCUGGCUGCCUCCGUAUAUGGUUCUCUCUCCACUCUAUUGCACAAUGCGCACACAGCUGAUGGAGACAGGAGAAUCCAACAAAAAGCCAAACCAUUUAGGUCACUCAAUCGAGCCAAGAGUCGUGCAAAUGGGCUUCCACUUAACCAGGAACAAAUAGGCCAACUAACCAAAACCUAAUUAGACCAGCAAAACAAGACCACAACUAACACUACGGGCUAACUCACUUAUCACCUCCAACUACUACUUGGGCUCUCAAAAGUGUUGGUCGUUUCUGGGUCAAGCCUAGCUUGUGGUGUCAAUAAAUUACUUGAAAUCUGUUUUAAAUCAUUGUCCUAAUUUAUUGGGUAUCAAAACCCAAUACUAGUACACCGUUAAGCUAAUGCUGUGGCACAUGCAAUAUGCUUUUCUAUACAUUUUAUUAACUAAUGUGUUCAUAUUCUUCCACUGGGUUCUAUCGUACUCGACUCAAGUUAAUCG